GGACUGGUCAAACAGCAUUUCUGAUCCCGUUUCUGACCUGAAAUUAGCUGAAAUGUACCUGAAAUUACCUGAAAUUAGAGUGUGCCCGCCCGAGCGAGUGAUGCCUAAAACAUGCAAAGACACGUCAGUGUAAUUGUGGAUGGCGAGAGCCCUGAAAUACAGCUGGACAGCAGCGGUCUACAUCACUGCCCCUUCUGCAGAUACAAAGGGUCAAAAUGUGAUAUCGACGAUCACAUUAAAUGGCAUGCCUCGGUUAAAUACAGAGGUCUGCAGAGGAGCUUUCAGGAAGCAGGAAGAGAAGACGGGGAGGAAAAAAAGCUACAGACAAAACUGAAGACCAGGAACUGAAACCUGGGAACCUGGAAGAUUAUGUUGUCCUGAAGGACACAAUUCAGGCAGCAGCAUGGUGCCAUUUACAGUCCUUCAAGGACAGCGUUUCUCUCCCAGAGGUCAUUGGGAUGGAAGGUUGGGAGCAGAUGGCAGCAUCAACACAGCGCGAAUCCCAUGACGGCGGGGAUGAGGAAGAAACGUGGAAACCAUUCCAAUUCUCGUUCAGAUUACAUACUGACUAUGAACUGUUCUGUGUGGAGAUGUUGGACAGGAGAAACCUGAAGGUGUUUGCCUCUUUUGAGUCGAACACCUCUCCCCCUCCCCGUGACGCCUGCGCCACACGACUCCAAUGUAGUCUGAUGAUGCAGCAUAAUGGCGGCACUUGGCAGCUAUGGCGGCGGUGACGGCGAUGUCGGGCGACAGAGCGUGAAGCAAGAGUGGCGUCCACCUCACUGAGGAAGGCGUCAGUGUGUUCCCCCCCCCCCUGUUGAGGGCUUUGUUUGUUC
This is a long non-coding RNA of Gadus morhua (Atlantic cod), 836 nucleotides long. Lineage: Eukaryota; Metazoa; Chordata; Actinopteri; Gadiformes; Gadidae. The record is from Ensembl.